UAAAUUUUAGUUUUUUGUUUAACAUGUGCUUUUGGUUUGAUUAUUAUGAUAUUAUAGUUGAGCUUAAUAUCAAUCCAUAUUAUAGCCUCUCGGUACAUAAGAAGAAUUCAUUCUUCUAACCAAAUGAUUGGUCUUUUCUAUAAUAGAUAACUACAAAACUGCAGAAGCUAAGCACGUCACUUUGAUAUAGAUAGUGUUAAACAAUUGUUCCCAGUUUAGCAGUACUUCCCUACAUGAAAUUGUUUCACAAAGAAUAAAAGAGCUUUAUCACUAACAUACAUGAUCUUUCAACAGAACAAGUCAUUGUCAUCCAAUCCAUGUACUGAAGACGAAGUGCAGGUGAUAUAACUGAGAAUUUGAGAUGAAGGAAGAUAUUGAACGUGGCAAAAAUUUGAUAUUUUGAGCAGCUAAUCAAUUUAGAUUUUGGAAUAUCAUGUAUGUUGGGUCAUUAUGUUUUGAUGUUCAAUAAUUUGACUUUUUAUUGGAGAAACAGAUAAUUGUAUUUUGAUCAAUUUUAUGGAUGAAGAUGAUACUGAAUAUUGCAGAAAUUUGAUAUUUUGAGCAGGUUUA
Molecule: long non-coding RNA, 570 nt
Organism: Zingiber officinale
Lineage: Eukaryota; Viridiplantae; Streptophyta; Magnoliopsida; Zingiberales; Zingiberaceae
Exons: 2
Source: RefSeq, a predicted model, not a curated record